Molecule: long non-coding RNA, 2972 nt
Organism: Callithrix jacchus (white-tufted-ear marmoset)
Lineage: Eukaryota; Metazoa; Chordata; Mammalia; Primates; Cebidae
Source: Ensembl
UGUGUUUGGCUGCUGAUAGGGCACUGGGAUCUGUGUAAUUUCCCAUGGAGCAACCCACUGCACCAGCUCAAACGUCUCUUCCUGGGAAUCUCCUGGUCUGGCUCACUGUCCAAGUCCCAUUAUUGCACUGAUUUUCUUAUGAGUAAAAUUGUUACAUUCAAACUCAUGCACAGAGUAUUUUACUGAAUGACAUUCUGCAGUAAGACCUGUCAUGAAUAUUGCUGAGAGACACAGAGUAUAAUUCCUACCUUAAACUUAAAUUAUAAAACUCUCAAGGAUGUUCUCAAAUAACAUUGGAUAAAUCUAUGCUAUGUCAUUGGAAGACAAAUACUUCUAAAGUAUAUUACACUGUUGUCACCAUUAUUUUUUUUAUUUGUGAGUAUGUAUAAGGGUUGCUUUAAAACCAAUUUCAAAAUAAAUGAAAAUUGAUACAAAGAAUCCUAAUCAUGAAAUUACUUUUACCUUAAACGUUUCCACAGUUUUUUUUCCUCUCUUUUUUUUUUUCAAGUUGGCUGACUAGGGAUGUUGGAUGCCAGCUCUCCUCAGAAAGAUCAAAGUUACAGGUGAAUGGUCAUGAUUUAAAUGGAAAUCUGAGGAAAUGGAGCAAGGUCCUGUUGGAGCACUCAUGAGAGGAUCCAGGAGCACAAAAGAGGAAAGCAACAAGAGACUGGCAGAGAUUGAUUCUCUAGAAACUUGGACCAUGAAAAGGGGUUGGACUGCGCAAUCUAUGCUGAAGCUGGUUGGCUAACUUGAAAUGUGUGGGAAUGCGAUGACACCAGUGGGAGAGCAGUAAGUACAGUUUCAGCAGCAGUAGUCAUUGCAAUGGAUGGAGUCAUUCACAGAGUGGGUAGCAGAUGUGGAAUGUGGGCUCUAUAAUAAGGACUGAGGGGAAGGUUGUUUACUAUGACUGAGGGAUCACAGAGAGCAAGGAAGUCUGGCCAUAAAAGCAGGGACAGAGGACAAAGAAACGUAAGCAAUCUAAACCUUUGAAGAACAAUCUCUUGCUGUAUUUAUCAAGAAGAAAUCAGUGUGAAGACACUAGCAGAACAAAAAACCUGAGUGUUGACACCUCAGAAGGAAGACACUAAUUCUUCAGCAGAAGAUCAUAACCAAAAUGAAAAUUCUAAAAUGACAGUAAAGAAUUCAAUAUACAAAUCACAAAGAAACUCAAUGAGAAAAAAAUUGAAAAUCAAAGCAAAGAAAUGAGAAAAAUGAUUCAAGAUAUAAAAGAAGAAAUUGCUAUAUUUGAUUGAAAAACAAGUAGAAAUUCUGGAACUGAAAAAUUUACCAAAGAAAUUUCAAAAUAUAGUUGUAAGCUUUACUAAUAGACUAGAUCAAGCAGAAGAAAAAUUUUCAGAGCUUGAAGACCUGUUUUUUGAAUUAACCAAGUCAGAGGAAAAUAAAGAAAAAAAUGUCUUAAAUAAACAAAGCUUUAGAGAAAUAUGGGAUUAUGUAAACUGACGAAAGCUUAUAAAGCAUUCUUGAGAGAGAAGAAAAAGCAAGCAAAUUGAAAAAAGGAAUAUUUGAGGGAAUAAUUCAGGAAAAUUUCCCUAAUCUUCCCAGAGAGGUAGACAUCAAGAUACAAGAAAUUCAGAGAACACCUGUAAGGUAAUAUAAAAGAAAAACUUCACCAAGACAUAUUGUCAUCAGACUGUUCAAAAUAAAUACUAAAGAAAAAAUCUUAAAGGCAGCUAGAGAAAAGGGUCAAAUCACUUAUAAAGGUAUACUUAUCAAACUACAAAUGUAUUUCUCAGCAGAAACCUUACAUGCCAGAAGAGAUUGUGAGCCUACUUUUAGCCUCCUUAAAGAAAAAUAAUGCCAGCUGAAAUUUUAUAUCCUGACAAACUAAGCUUAAUACAUAAAUGAAUAAUAAGUCAUUCCCACAUAAGGAAAUGCUAGGGGCAAUUAUCACAACUGGACUGGUCCUACAAAAAAAGCUCAAAGUAGUUCUAAAUAUGAAAAUGAAAAGAUAAUACUCGCUACCAUAAAAGCACUCAUAAAUACAAAGUACACAUAUCCUAUAAAGUAAAUACACAAUUGAGACUACAAAGCAACUAGCUAAAAACACUAUGACAGAAACAAAACUUCACAUGUCAAUAUUAGCUUUUAAUGUAAAUGGCUUAAGUGCUCCACUUAAAAGAUAUAGAUUGUCAAAUGGGAUAAAAAUAAAAACCCAACCAUCUGCUACCCUCAAAUGACCCAUCUAAUAAAUAAUGACACACACAGGCUCAAACUAAGAGAAAAAUAUGCAAUGCAAAUGGGAAACCAAAAGGACAAGGAGUUGUUAUUUUUUUACUAUAUAAAACAGACUUUAAAUCAGCAAUAGUAAAACAAAACAAAACAAAUCAAAGAAGGCCAUUAAAUAAUGAUAAAGGGGUUAAUUCAACAAGAACAUUUAAGUAUCUUAAAUAUAUACACACCCAAUACCAGAGUACACAGAUUUAAUAAGAAACACUGCUAGACCUAAGAAAAGAGAUAGACAGCUAUAUACUAUAGUGUGGGAAUUCAACACCCCAGUUAAAGCACUGAACAGAUUAUUGAAGUUGAAAACUAACAGGGAAACACUGGACAUAAAUUAGACGCUUGACCAAAUUGACCUAACAUCUAUCUACAGAAUUUUCUACCCACUAACUGCAGAAUAUACAUUUUUUCUCAUCUGUGCAUGAAACAGUCUCCAAAAUUGAACAAAAUUUGUCUGUUUUCACACGGAUAUGAAGAACUACUGAAGACUGGGUAAUUUAUUUGUAAGAUUUAUUGCUGAGGUAAAAUGAGGAAACUGAGGCAAGUAUAAGAAAGUGAGAAGCUAAUUUAUUCAGUUCCUGGGCUAGGUUCUGUGGUCCAGGGUGGAGCCAGAGAAGUUGCGCCCGGCUGUUCAGGGCGUGGGGUUUUAUGGGGAGGGCAGGCAACUGAUUGUCUAUUGGGGACACAAAGAGAAGGCAUUUCUAUUGGCUGUUGAGGAGCAGAAAGUACAU